Long non-coding RNA from Mirounga angustirostris (Northern elephant seal), 13456 nucleotides. RefSeq lists it as uncharacterized. The record is from RefSeq and is a predicted model, not a curated record. Lineage: Eukaryota; Metazoa; Chordata; Mammalia; Carnivora; Phocidae. The transcript is spliced from 7 exons.
GGGAGCAGCAGAAGGAGAGGGAGAAGCAGGCUCCCCGCUGGGUGGGGAGUCACAGGGCUCCACCCCAGGACUCUGGGAUCAUGACCUGAGCUGAAGGCAGACGCUUAACCGACUGAGCCACGCAGGCGCCCCCAAACUGCCUGAUUCUGCUCCACUUUUGCACAAGGGAGCCCGGAUCCAGGUGCAAGGUCAUUACUGGGCCGUUCUGCGCUCUUUGGGGUCCCUGGGGAGAAGGAGGCCAGGGUGGAAGGCAAAAGCCCUGGGCGACCCCCGUUUGGGUCUGCGUGGGCUCCCCGGGCGGCCGCGCCCCCCGCACGCCCCCCGCCCCCCUCGGCAGAGGCCUCACCUGGGCUGCGGGGGCACCGGAAGCCGGCCCGCGCCCGUGCGCGCCGCCGUGCCCGCUGCUGGCUGCCAGGGGGCGCUGCGACACAAGCGCCCGGCGCGGAGGGGCGGCGGCCACGUGACCCGGGAGCGGCGCGCGGGGUCCUGGGGUCCGCCGGGGGCCCCACCCGCUGCGGGCGCGCUCGCCGCCUCACCCCCCGCCCCCUCCACCGCCUUCUCCUUCCGCCCUGCGCCGGCCGCGCGGUGGGUCUGCGGCGGCGACAGCGACUCAAGUCCGGGCUCCCUGACCGGUCACCUCCCGGCCACCCUGCCGAGCAGCCGCGGCUUCAGAGCUGCCCAGAAGUGAAUCUCUGACCUGACGACGUUUCUUACCUGGAGUAGGGGCCUUGGGCACACUCCACACUUAGCCUGGCAGAAGCGGCCACGGAUUGCCCGGAUCACACGCUUGGAUCAGCCAGCCGGAAAUGCCUCGUACACCUCGACACAUCUUACAAUUUCACACGCACACAGAUGCUGACUUUGAUGUGUCUGUCAGCACAACCCUCAGCCCCAGCCGCCAGGAAUGCGUCAGAAACUUCGUUCACCACCAUUCUCACCAGGUAACAAAGGAGCAGGGCUUUCUCUGUGAAGUCGCUGGGAACUGAUGCUGCUGGCAUUUUCCUUGGAGCUUUACUGGCUCAACUCCAGAACCACCCCCUCCAAGUUGUCUUCCUGGAUUUACUCACCCAAAGCUAUCCUCUUUCCUGGGGCGCAGCAGCCUGGAGGUGGGAAUGGCCGUGCUGGAUGACCGCAUCGAUCCGGAUUUGGAAGUUGUGAGGCAGCUAAGGCAGGAGGAUGAGGUGAAGAACGGUGUUGCUGGUUUAUGGUGAGAGGGUACUUGAAGUGAGUUACCAACCCUGGCACAUAUCGGUCCUGGUAGGCCAUUCUUGAAGUCCUACUUAUAAAAGGAACUCAACUGCCAAGUAUUGGAGACUUGAGGUGGAGGAUGAAAUGAGGAGAGAUUCAGUCUCAGGUGGCCAGAUUGAUCCAGGAGCUGAGGGCAACAGGACAAUCCAGAAAAUGCAAACUGUAUAAUGGCAGUGGUCCUUGGGUAAGGCGCAGAAAGCAAGCCCACACCGGAAAGCUAGGAAGGCAGCUGAGGCCCGGCCGCCAACAGGCAAGAACUGCGUCUUCAGAGCCAGCACAGGCGGGAGCCUUGCGGGGUGAAGCAUGGACGUUUCCAGCUGGAGGCAGCCACCUCCCCUUCCAUUUUCGUUCACCUCGUCUUCCAUCUUCGCUUGCUCACGCUCUUCCCCCUGCCCCGGGCGACUGCGCGCUAAUUCACUCGUCCAGGCUUGGGGCCUACCUCUACCUGCCCCGGUAUAAGCAAUAGGAUGGCAGGGUGUCCAUCCCCCCAUACCCUGCUCAGGGGACCCACCCGGCCUCACCGCCCGAAGCAGGAGCUGGGAACCUGGACCGGUGCUCCGAGCGGGGGUGGGGGGUGGGGGGCCCUGUGGCAUUCAGUACUGAGGUGUGGGGACUCGGCCUGUGGCUACACGCGGCUUGCUGGUAGACCACAGGACAGGGGCAGAGUGAGGCCCCAGGCGUUGCGCACUGCUUUUGCCUCUAGCCCUGCCCACCCCUCCCCCGGGCACCAAGGGAAGCUGGUUGGUCCCCAGAGCGUGAGGGGGUAGAGAUGACACAGAAUAAUCCCAUCUUCGAGCCUGCAAAAGAACUGAAAGCCUGUGGCUUACUCAUAGAUCAGUCGUACCAGCUUUUUGUGGAAAGGACAGCACGAUCUUUAUUCACAAUCCCACUCUUACCAAAGUAUUUUUAGACUUCAGAAUAGGAGUGAGGAGCCUAGGCGUGUGAACACUGGUAAAUUGUUCCUAGCUGGAGGUAUGGAAGAAGGUGGGCAGGGCAUACUGUCCUGAGUCUAAUCCGCCCCCCGCCCCAGUGAAGCUUUGAAGAUGUGGUAAGAACAGUUGGUUGCUUGAGAACAAUAGUGAAACCCCCUUUCUUUUACAUAGAUUAGAACACUCUUAAUGCUUAUGAUGACUGCGAGGGAUGUUAUGAAGAGAGGAAAAUAUUCACUGUCUCCUCCGAAGUUAGCAGGGUUGGGGAGUCAGUCUCCAUUUGACCAGACAAAGAGGUGGUUUGGGUUUUCCCACUUCUGCACCAUUGACUCGGUCUCAAGGAAACCCGGGCUCACCGUUGCCCAGCCGAGUGCGGACAUCAACAGCAAGAGGUCAAGCACAUUUUCCCUUUGACUCCUACUUUCUUCUAUUUACCAUACUUUGUGAUUGUCCCGGUUCUUUGGAGUUUUUCCUUGUUUUUUUCCCCCAAAGGUUUUAUUUAUUUAUUUGAGAGAGAGAGCAUUAGAGAGCGAGAGCAAGCACGAAUGGGGGGCAGAGGGAGAGGGAGAAACAGGAUCCCUGUGGGACUCGAUCCCAGGACCCUGGAAUCAUGACCUGAGCCAAAGGCAGACCCUUAACCGCUUAACCGAGGGAGCCACCCAGGCGCCCUGGAGUUUUUCCUUUUAUCAGGAGCUUGAAAAAAAUGUGGCCAGCUUCCACCCAUUUGUAUUAGUGUAAGAGAGUAUUGCAACCGCCACAAGAAAAGCAUAGAUAAACCAGAGGUCAAAGAAUAACAGAGUGUUCCAACUGGAGGAGCCAUAGAAGCAACUUACCCCAGCCCCUUCAUGCUUACAUAGGGGGAAACAGACACCCACAGAGAGAAGGUAGCCGAUCUCAUGGUUCCCACUCUUGUCCUCUUUCUAGAAUAUAUGACUUCAUCAUUACAUAUUUUCUUUCCUGAUUUUGAUUUGGAAAGGUUAUUAGUUGGCAUUUCUGGGGCCUAUAGCCAAUUGGGUGUUAAGGGGUUGGGUCCAGAGCCAUACACUGUAGAAAAAGCUAGACCCAUAUUGAACAUUCACCCUGAAUGAUCAGAUCUGGAAUCGGCAACUCGCUCGCACUGUUAAGGGUUGGCAUUGCCCUAUGUUCUGUCCUUGGUCCUCUUUUUUUGUAUUAAGAGCAGGUCUAUGGUCGGGGUUGGUCUCUAUGGCAAAAUAAGGCAAAUUCUGAGUCGAAAAGCUGUAACUGCAGUUCUUAGGAUUUUCUGCUGAUCUCUGAGGACAGACAGCAUGUCCUCUCUCCUGUUCAACACCAACCUUUUCACCCGCCCAUCUCUUGACAAUUCUUCUUCUUCUUCUUUUUUUUUUUUUUUAAUUUAUUUGACACAGAGAGAGAGACAGCAAGAGAGGGAACACAAGCCGGGGGAGUAGGAGAGGGAGAAGCAGGCUUCCCGCUGAGCAGGGAGCCCGAUGCGGGGCUCGAUCCUAGGACCCUGAGAUCAUGACCUGAGCCGAAGGCAAAUGCUUAACCAACUGAGCCACCCAGGCGCCCCGACAAUUCUUUACUCUUCCUUUAUACUCUGCUACAUUCGAACCCAUCACAAAACCUCAGUUUUGUUUUAAUAAAAACAAAAAUCUUUUUACCCAAUGUCCCCCUUAUCCGCCAAGCCUCCUGAAAGAAUAGUCUAUACAUGACGUCCCACUUCCUUUCUUUUCGUUCACCCCCAUGCCAAACCUUUUAGUCUGUGUUGUAAGUAAUCUUGCUCCACAGCAUUCAGCAUCCUUCAACCACUGACCCGCUGGAAACUCUCUUCAUGGCUUUUCUUCUCCUGUUCUCCCACUCCUGUAUUCCUCAAGGAUCUUAUUUGAUAGUAGUUAUAUUUUGGGUUAAUGCCUGGCUUAAGUCUCCUUUAUGGCAAUACUUCCCCAGCCAUAGUGUCUCAGGAAGGGAUGGUGAAGCCUCGGGCCUGGCCACUGGGGCUGGGGAUGGAUAUUUAGGCAGAGGGGGAUGCCUAGGAGUAUAGCGAGAUGGAGGGAGGUGACCGUUAGGGAGGAGGGCUGAGAAGUUGCAUAGAUUCAGAGGCUGAAGCUAUGAUUCUGGCCGCGUGAGAGUGGGCGAGGGACCUGAAGACACUACUGGGCAGGGAAGGGAGUGGGGAAAUCAAGUCGAUGCUCCCAGAGAAGCAAGGAAGAGAUCACGAGCCAGAGGAGAGGCGUGGAGUAGCAGAGGAGGGAGAGAGGGAAAUCUUUGUGGGAGGGAUCAGUGGGGCGAGGGGAGUGAUGAGAGGGAGCCCAGGAGAAGGCACCCAGACAACUUUCUAGAUCCUGGGAGCUGCUGUUGUGCUUACUGCAGUAAAUGUCUGUCUGAUUCUCCCGGAUCUUUGUAAUAACCCUUUUUAGUACCUUGCUUUAGUGGAUAAUAUUGUUUCUUGCAAACUUUACCCUAAGAUACUUCUUCUCCCACCAACUUCUCCAACUCUCCCUGAGUGAUCUCAUCUGCUUUUUCUUUUUUUCAGUUUAUUUAUUUUAGUAAUCUCUACAACCAAUGUGGGGCUCGAACUCACGACCCUGAGAUCAAGAGUCGCAUGCUCCUCCGACUGAGCCAGCCAGGUGCCCCUCAUCCACUUCUUUCUACAGUUCAAAAUGUUUUUACUUCUAUAAUAUAAAACAUGCAUAUAGCUAAAAAAGAAAUUUAAGAGUCCCAAAGGCUUAUAAUGAGAAGCAAAACUCCCUAUGCCUACCCCUUUCCUUCUUCCCAGAAACAAUAACUCCUUGAAGUGUUCCUUGUGGUGUUUACCUCAGUCAUUCAAAAGAAUAUGACUAUUGGGGCGCCUGGGUGGCUCAAUCGGUUAAGCGUCUACCUUGGGCUCAGGUCACGAUCCCGGGGUCCUGGGAUCGAGCCCCACAUCGGGCUCUCUGCUCAGCGGGGAGACUGCUUCUCCCUCUCUCUCUCUCAAGUAAAUAAGUAAAAUCUUUUUUUUAAAAAGGGAACAUGAUUAUUAUCUUGCUAUGUCUUUUUUUUCCCCAUUAUUGUGGUAAAAAAUACUUAGCACAAAAUUGACCAUUUUAACCAUUGGUGAGUGUAGUAUUCAGUGGCGCUAAGGACAUUCACACUGUCGUGCAACCAUCGUCACCAUCCAUCUCCAGAAUUUUUUCAUCAUUGCAAACUGAAAUUCUGUACCUGUUAAGUAACCUCCCAUUCUCUUCCCUGCAGGUCCCUGGCAAUGGCUAUUUUAGUUGCUGCCACUGGGAAUUUGACUGUUCUAGGAAAGUCAUAUAAAUGCCAUCCUACAGUAUUUAUCCUUUGGGGUGUGGCUUAUUUCACUUAGCAUAAUGUCUUCAAGGAUCAUCCGUGUUGUGACAUAUGUAAGACUUUUGUUCCUUUUUAAGGCUGAAUAAUAUUCUAUUUUAUACACACACACUCGUGCACGCACACGUACACACACUGUAUUUUGUUCUUCUAUUCGUUCAGUGAUGGACAUUUGAGUUUUUCCCACCUUUUGGCCAUUAGGAACGUGCUCCUUUGAACACAAGUGUAUAAAUACCUGCUCGAGUCCCUGCUUUCACCUCUUUUGCGUAUAUACCCAGAAAUGGAAUUGCUGGAUCAUUUGGCAAUUCUACAGUUUGCUUUUUUGAGGAAACACAAUGCUGUUUUCCACCUUCUGUUUUCUUGACCAACACUUUUUAACCAUCAUCUACUGGCUUUGUAUUACGGUAAGUGAGGGAUCAUCCAGUCUUAAAGUAUUCUCUAGUCCCUGUGUGCUGAUGGCUUCCCAUGCGUAUUUCAAACUCAGACUUUCCCCUGAGCUUCAGCCUUUAAUAUCCAAAUGCUUGCUGGACGUCUCCAUGUAGAUGUUAAACUCAGUGUAUCCCAAAAUGCUUGUCCCUGCCCCACCCCCAAACUUUCUCUUCCUCUGGCUUUUCUACUGUCCCCUACCUCAGUGAGUGUCACCAAUGCCUACCCAGUCACUCCAACAAGAAAUCUAGAAGUUGUCACAGACUGCUCCCGGACCUUACCACCCAAUGGAUCACCAAGACUUUCUGAUUUUACCUCUUAAGUAGCUCUUGACUCCAUUUUCUUUUCACUGACUGGCACUGCUCUCAUUCAGACCUUCUCGUUUGUCAUCUCUUGACUGAGCCACUUGCAGUAGCCUCCGUAUUCGCCCUCCUGCAAAUCGAGCUAAGCUUGUUUAGCCUCUGACAUCGUCACUGAUUUCUCAGUGACUAUCAGUAGCUUCCACUGACUAGAGAUAGCUGUGGGUUGUCAUCCUCACCCCACCCCGCACAAUCUCCCUACCAGGUGGUCCGUUCUAGUGAAAACAGGGCUUCGACCCAGUUCUGCCAAGCACACACUUAGUAGUGGUUAGACUCAGUCCCACAACCUGUCCUCAUAAGACCAUGAAGCCCCAUGCAGGAAAGGUUCACUGAAGCACAUUCCGCAGUUCUCCAGUAGUUGCACUUUAGCUAAACUUGUGGUUAGAUCGGGCGAUGGAAUCUUCCAUUAGGUGUCAGGACGCAGGACCUAUGGCUUCCCAGACUUAGAAUGCCACUCUGGGCUCAUCAGUUUCUUUGGCCCCAUUCACGCAAGGGCAGACGACAGUAUGGAUCCAUAAAUCUAGAAUACCAUUUAUUUCACCAGUGAAAGUUUAUUUCCAACAUCCCUUAUAUUAAUGAGCAAACCCUCUCGUGCAGAUUUAGGUAGAUUGACUGAAGCUUUCCAGCGCUGCCUCUAGAGUGUGUAUUCAUAAUUAGUCUUUCAGAUGCAAACUAAGCGCCGCUGGCGUGUGCUCCUCAUUAGGGUACUUAGAUACUAACUGUCCCUAGGACAUAUGUAUAUGUACAUGUACAUGCAUAGGUGUGUGUGUAUUGCACACUGUGCUGAGUACUUUUUUUUUUUUAGAGAGAGUGCGUGCGCACGAACAGCGGGGGAGGGGCAGAGGGAGGAAAGAGAGAGAACCUUAAGCAGGCUCCACGCCCAGUGUGGAGCCCCAUACGGGGCUCGAUCUUAUGAGCCUGAGAUCAUGACUUGAGCCGAAAUCAAGAGUUGGAUGCUCAACUGGCUGGGCCACCCAGGCACCCCCGUGCUGAAUAUAUUUUUUUAAUGAUUUAUUUAUUUAUUUUAGAGAGAGAAAGAGCACGAGCGGGAGGGGCAGAGGGAGAGGGAGAGAAUCUCAAGCAGACUGCGCUGAGUGUGGAGCCCGACAUGGGGCUCAAUCUCAUGACCCUGAGAUCAUGACCUGAGCCGAAACCAAGAGUCAGAGGCUUAACUGACUGUGCCACCCAGGUGCCCCUGUGCUGAGUAUUUUUCAAGUAAGUUUUAGACCAUAUAACAAAUCUAUCCUCCUAUGUACAUCUAUUCAUAUUGUGCCCCUGCAUAAAACCCUUUAUCUCCAUGGUUCCCCGGUCCAUGUGAAAUAAAGUCCAGACUCCUUCAGGUGACAUACAAGACCUUUCCAGAACCUCCCCCCACCUCUCUCCUUUUUGCACUUUAUGCUCCAGUCCAGAAUUACCAAGCUGCGUGUAAGUUAACCUCCACCCACGAUGCUGGUUUGGCCUCAUGCUCUCCCCCUGCCUGGCCCACUUUUGCCACUUUCCUUCACCUGGCUGACUCUUACUCAUCCUUUGUGACUCAAACCAGGCAUCAGCUCUUUCAAGAAGCCUUUCCUGUAAUCCCAUUCGGAGUUAAGCUUAUUUAUCUUGACACAUGUAUAGCGUUUAUUAUGUGCCAGGAACUAUUCUAAGCACUUUUAAUCCUCAUUAUGGCUCUGUGAGUUAGAUUCUAUUAUUAUUCCUCUUUUCAGAUGAGGAGACUGAGGCACAUAGAGGUUUAACUUGUCAAAGUUCACCCAACCGGUAAGGGGCAAAGCCAGACCACAAACCCACACUGUCAGACUCCAGUCUGUUCUCUUAGAAAUCCAUACGCCGUGGGGCGCCUGGGUGGCUCAGUUGGUUAAGCGACUGCCUUCGGCUCAGGUCAUGAUCCUGGAGUCCCGGGAUCGAGUCCUGCAUCGGGCUCCCUGCUCGGCAGGGAGUCUGCUUCUCCCUCUGACCCUCCUCCCUCUCAUGCUCUCUGUCUCUCAUUCUCUCUCUCUCAAAUAAAUAAAUAAAAUCUUUAAAAAAAAAAAAAAAGAAAGAAAGAAAUCCAUACGCCGUGCUGCUUCCCGAGGGCCCUUUCUCUAUAUUCCUACAGCACCUUAAGCAUACCUCUGUCUUAGCAUUGAGCAUAAUGGUUUGAAACGGUCUCUUUGUGUACGUGCCUACGGCUUCACCAUGAGGGCCGUAAAGCUUAAUGGUCUCUGAGGCCGUGUGGGAUCGUGGUUAGAUCAUGCAGUCUGGGAUUAGAUAUACCUGGCACUAAGUCCCACCUCUGCUGUGUACUACCUGUGUGACCUUACACAAAUUAUGUAACCUUUCUAUACGCCCUUUUCUGCAUUGGUAAAGUGGGGCUAAGAAUACCCCACAGGGUGAUGGAAAGAAUGAAACGAGAUGAUAUAUCUAGAGCACCCAGCAGAGGGUCUCUCAUAGUAAACAAAACAAAACAAAACAAAACCCUCUUGGUAAUGCUUGACUAUUACAACUAGUUGUUAUUUUUAUCUCUGCGUCUCUAGCAACUAGCAACUGGGAAGGAAAUAGACACUGGAGGACUGUUUGUUGAACUGAACGAAUAUGGAAAUCUUUAGACUGACCUCAAUAUCUAAAGGACAUUUUAGUAGACAUGACUUCAGAAAUGGUCCCCUGUCGCUAAGCAGGAGGUGCCACCUCACUUUGCCAGGACACCCAGAAGAGUUUUACCUCCUAAGGGUAGCUAGCCCUGUAACUCUUCAGUCAAUAUAACUAACAAGCAUAUGGUGCUGGUCCUUGCCACCAUUCGUUUUAGUGUAGCUAAAGCUCACACGGGAGAGCUCAUCACUUCCAAGUGGGUCUUGUCAUCCUAAACCAUUUCCUCAUCCUUCAAAAUGAAAGAGAACCCCAUUUUGUGUCCUUUUCUUAGAACAAGGGCUUCAGAACUCCCCAGGGCACUUUAUUCUCUUGGGUUGCUGGCCUUUUCAGUUCUGGAAUUCCCAUGCACAUUUCCAUCCCAGCAUGCCAGGGCUUUGAUCCCUUCUGCUGUAAAUUUCACUUGUCGACUGGAUGAAAAAUACAGUUAUGGGACAUGCCCAGGUCAGCUUUGGAUAGUGUGGUUGUGAUCGAAAGUGUCCCAGGUAUCAAUGAAAUGCCCAUCUUCUUGCACCCAAGAGCAGCUGAAGAUGCUGCUUGAAAAGCUGGAAUAGACAUAUAUGUCACAUUCAGAGAAUAACACAACCCCCAGGAAACACUAGGGUUAGGGUUAAGAAGCUCCUCAGGCAGAAUUUCUUGGUUUACUUGGGGCUAAGGAGAAACCACAUUUGGAUUAAUCUGGCCGAUCUUUCCAUAAUAUCUGAACCUACUUCCCUUUAUAAAGGAAGACAGCCUCGAGACCACUGAUUCUCUCUUCCACAAGGAUCUUGCAGAGCAUCUGAGCCGACCUGGUUACCAUCAGUGAUUACUUCAGAAUUUUAGAUGGAGAGACAAACUUAAGAAGUUGAACUGAAUUUGUAUUAAUCCUGGUCAUAGCCUAGAAUAAUCUGGCAGUUUGAUUAAACCUCUGAUAGUUUGGUAUGUUUUCAUUUUUCUCUUUUUUGCCCUAAAAUCUGGUGCAUAGAACUACUACUAUUACUACUAUUACAACACACACACACACACACACACACACACCCAACUAGUUGAGGGUUCAGGAUUCUCAGGUGCUAAAGGAUUUUAAUGCAAGGGGAUAAUUACUGUAGUGUGGGUUUGGUCAGGAGGGGCUGCCUGGAGAUGGUGUCCAGCCAGGAUGGAUAGACUUCAGAUGGUAAGGGCUUCCAGAGUUGAGGAAGAGGGUUGGACAUGAGUCAGAGCACACAGUGCAUCUAAGAAACUAGAGGUGAGGCUUGUGGUCUUAGGCUCAGCGCAAAGCCUGGGAUUCCUCUCCCUUUUUCUGUCCAGAUGGUUAGAAACAUGGAGGGUCCAGAAACACAGAGGUUGGAAAUAUUCACCUCUCGGAAAGUGCACUGGGCCAGGAGUGAGGAGAUAGGAUUACUGAUCCUAGUUCUACCACUGAUUUGUCCCAUAAUGGUGGGCAGGUCAUGUAAACCUCUCUCAGACCAUUUCUUUGUCAAGUAAGAUAGAGAUAGAUAUAUGAUCAGACUACUACUAGUGGGAGGCUUAGGUGAAAGCUUGUAAGUAUCCAUCAGAUGUCAGUUACUAAGAGACUAUUAAUAAAUAAAAUGUAGAUACCGUGGGAAGAGAGACCAUCUUGUCAGUUUGCAUCUUAUUGGAUAUUAAAUACCAGCCACUCAGGGAUGCCAAGAAAUGGGUGUCAGUUACUGAGAAGAGAAAGGAGUGUUUUUAACAAAUGAAGAGAUCAAAGUUCAGAGAGUUUAAACCACUCCCCAGUUGUUGAGCAGGGACUGGGCCAAGGCCAAUGUGAACUGUGUCACUGCUUUGCUCCAAGAACGUGUAUCUCUGUGUCUUCGGAAGGCCCUUUAAGAGUGAUGCUGUUGGUGAGAAUUGUAGGGAUAGUGGAAAGCUACCAAGGGCAAUAUUUUGGAGGUUGGCAGCUGAUCUCAGAUACAAGUAGUUUAAUCUUUUGUGUGCCUUAAUCCAUGCUGAUCUCUGGGUGAAUUGCUAGCCCCUUCACCUACCAGUAGGUACUACCUAUAAUCUUUUUUUUUUUUUUUACUUCUACUGACACACAAUCUAAUAAAAAUAAAUUUUUUUUUACUUCUACUGACACACAAUCUAAUAAAAAUAAAUUUAUUUUGUACUGUUUUGUACAAGUUUAUAAAUUUUGAUUCCAAUAUCUGUGAGCUCUAUGUCGUUCCUUUCGAGCCUAACUUGCUAGAGGGAACUGAGAGUUGCUCACAUCAAAACGGGAGGUUAACGUCCCUUUAAAGUAGGAAAUAUUGCUGUAGGGAAGUGUCAGGAGAGAGAAAGCCAGUGAAAGGAAAGUGAGCAUGGCAGAAAUCCACAUUCUGGCGGGAUCACUGAGGAGAGGGGGGAACUGAGGAUUUCAGGCUUAUCUAAGAGGCCAUGUCAGCGGGUGCAGAGAGAGAGAGAUCGAGAGAGAGAAUGGAACGCCCGCCAGAGCCUGGUAACUGUGUCAGAACCCUGCUGGUACCUGUAUUUGGUCCUCAGAGCCCCUCCAGCCCUCUUCCUAGUCCCUUUGUCAGCCACCACCCGUCUCAGCUACUUGGCUAAGAGGGAGAGAAAGAUAAAGAACCAUUCAAAUUGCCCUUCAAGACAUCGUCACUUCUCUUCCAAAACAUCUCUCCCCUUGGAUCCUGCCGUCACUCCACUAACACACGGAUACAGACAGCUCUUCCUUCCAUUCUCUUUGGCCUCUUUAGCCAACACUCAACAGGGUCAUCACGACAGGUUGCUGGUAACCUUUCUAAAAAUGUAUUUGAUCAGUGUCUUCACUGAUGGUAUUUCAAAGUGUAAAGGUAGACAUUGAAAACUUGAUAGUGAUCUGAAAAGGAAUUUAAGUAAAUCUUAUGACUUUGUUGUAGAGGUUCCAGGCUUCCUCUUAUAAUGGGAGGUUUUAUGUCUUUAUUUAUUUUAAAGAUUUAUUUUUUUAUUUGAGAGAGAGAGAGAGCACGAGCAGGGGGCGGGGGAAGGGAGAGGGAGAGGGAGAAGCAGACUCCCCCUGAGCAGGGAGCCCGAUGCAGGACUUGAUCCCAGGACCCCGGGAUCAUGACCUGAGCUGAAGGCAGACACUUAAACAACUGAGCCACUCAGCUGCCCCAGAUAGAACAUUGUUUUAUUUUUUAAGAUUUUAUUUAUUUAUUUGAGAGAGAGAGAGAGCAUGAGAGAGAGAAAGCAUGAGAGGGGGGAGGGUCCGAGGGGGAAGCAGGCUCCCUGCUCAGCGGGACUCGAUCCUGGGACUCCAGGAUCAUGACCUGAGCCGAAGGCAGAUGCUUAACCGACUGAGCCACCCAGGAACCCCAGAUGGAAGGUUAUAAGGCAACUGCUUUCUCGGGCACCUGUGUGGCUCAGUUGGUUAAGCGACCAACUCUUGAUUUCAGCUCAAGUCCGGUGUUGGGCUUCCCACUCAACAGGGAGUCCCCUUGCCCUCUCCCUCUGCCCUUCCCUCCUCCCUCCCCCGCUUGUGUGCUUGCUCUCUCUCUCUAAAAAAAUAAAAUAAAAAAUAAAAUAAAGCAACUAACCCAGAAAAAUUCUACUUCCUUCACCUCCUUGAAUCUAACCCCCAUAUCUGAGAGAAUUCGGGGUAUUAUUUGUGUUAACACUGGUGUCUGAGGGCCAGUCCCUUUUACACCUUGGUUGGAUGAAGUUGUUGGUGGAAGUUCACAUUUGUAUGUUAACAUGUGACUUUAAUCAGAGUCUGGAGAUGGCCCAUUGUUAAUAAUUUGGCGUAUGAAAAAACAAAAUGCUUUUAUUCUCAUGAGAAAGGCACUAGAAUUCAACCUCAUCCCCCACCCCAUGAAUGUGUAUUUUACAUAAAACCAGACAGAUUUUCUUAACAACAUUAAUAAUGUGCUAUUAUAACAUAAUUGCAAUAUUAUACCAAAAGCAUUAUCCAUGUUAAGUACUCUCCAAUUUAGAAUGAGUGAAUAAAUUCUCUAAAACUUUUAAGAGAAGAAUAUCCAUUUUCUUCAGCUAAAUAAUCCAUAAGUUCAAAAGGUAAAAGGAAUAGUUCUUCUUACACAAAAUGCGGCAUGUAUGUGGGAGUAGAAUUUUGAUAGGAAUUUGUGAGCUUGGGGCGCCUGGCUGGCUCCGUCGGUAGAGCAUGUGACUCUUGAUCUUGGGGUGGUAAGUUUGAGCCCCACAGUGGGUGUAGAGAGUACUUAAAAAUAAAAUCUUAAAAAAAAAGAAUUUGUGAGCUCCCUGCUAGUGCAUUUAAAAACCUCCUUGGCAAUCUCCUGGCAACUAAGGAUACUAUGCCCCCUUCCAAUGUGGGGCCAAGACAUAGUAUCUGCAGAAUUACAUACCCAUUAAGGUAACACUCGUUCUGUCAUUUUUGGUGUAUGGCACCCAAGGUCACCCUGGAUGCUGACAUCCAGCCAAUAGACAGGAAGAGAUAAAGAGUGGAGAAGGCAGGUGAGCUCCUGAGAUUGGCCGGAAUGUGGCACACGUCCCUUUCACCAACAUUCCACUGGUGAGGACUUGUGAGGUGAUCACUUCGUGAUCUAACCACGAUCCCACACGGCCUCAGAGACUAUUAAGCUUUAUGACCCUCAUGGUGAAGCCGUAGGCACGUACACAAAG